UCGCUCUUCAACGAGGAAUCCCUAGUAAGCAUGAGUCAUCAGCUCGUGCUGAUUACGUCCCUGCCCUUUGUACACACCGCCCGUCGCUACUACCGAUUGAAUGGCUUAGUGAGACCUUUGGAUUGGGGUUUAGGGAUCGGAAACGAUUCUUAUUCUCCGAGAAGUCGGUCAAACUUGGUCAUUUAGAGGAAGUAAAAGUCGUAACAAGGUUUCCGUGGGUGAACCUGCGGAAGGAUCAUUAAAAAUUUAUAUUCCGGAAAUUCGUUUCGUUUUCCCGGAUUAUUUGUAUUCAAAUCCCACUCUUUAUAAAUAUAUUAAUCAUAUAAAACAAAAAUAAAAAAGAUCACUUUCAACAACGGAUCUCUUGGCUCUCGCAUCGAUGAAGAACGCAGCGAAAUGCGAUAAGUAGUGUGAAUUGCAGAAGUACCGUGAAUCAUCGAAUCUUUGAACGCAAAUUGCACUCUCUGGUAUUCCGGGGAGUAUGCCUGUUUGAGGGUCGCCUAACAAACCAUCGAUUUCGUUGCUUUUUAUUUAAAAAGGUGAUGUUUAUCGGAUUUGAGCCGUCUUUUUUUUUUAUAUUUAAGUGGCUUAAAAUUGAUUUUUUUGGUAUGAUCGAAGCGUAUUUUAUGAUCAAUCUUUGGUUAAAGAAACGCAUACGCGUACCGUUAUUUGUAUGAUGUAAUACGUUUGACUAUUGGAUUUAGUUCAUUCGUAUACGAUAUUUUUCAAUAUUUGACCUCAAAUCAGGUAAGAACACCCGCUGAACUUAAGCAUAUCAAUAAGCGGAGGAAAAGAAAAUAACAAUGAUUCCCCUAGUAACGGCGAGUGAAGAGGGAUAAGCUCAAUUUUUAAAUCUGAUGGGUUUCUUAUCAGAAUUGUAGUUUGAAGAAACGUUUUCUGCGUCUUGUUAACCCAAAUCUUUUGGAACAAGGUAUCAUGGAGGGUGACAAUCCCGUUCAUGGUUAACGUCAAGAUGCGUUACGAUACGUUUUCAAAGAGUCGAGUUGUUUGGGAUUGCAGCUCAAAAUGGGUGGUAGACUUCACCUAAGGCUAAAUAUCAGCGAGAGACCGAUAGCGAACAAGUACUGUGAAGGAAAGAUGAAAAGAACUUUGAAAAGAGAGUUAAAUAGUACGUGAAAUUGUUGAAAGGGAAACGAUUGAAGUCAGUCAUGCUAGUGAAAAAUCAGUUUGACGGGUUUUGAGUACGGGAGUAGAGGCAGGGUCAAACCGUUUCUCUUUUGUACUUGGGAUUUGUCGGAUGUACUUUUUCUUUGGCAGGUCAGCGUCGGUUUCGGAGGUUGUAAAAUACUUGGGGGAAAGUAGCUCUGCUUCGGGAGAGUGUUAUAGACCCUGGGGGAUGCAGCCUGCGGGAUCGAGGAUUGCAGCAAAUGCUUUUUGGCUUGUCGCCUGAUCUCUGGAUGUUACCUCGCUUUUGACAACAUUCUUGUCACUGGUGGGUACUAAUGCCCAUUAGGUUAGAGCGAUCAAAAAUUUGCUAAGGAUGCUGACGUAAUGGCUUUAAACGACCCGUCUUGAAACACGGACCAAGGAGUCUAACAUAUAUGCGAGUGUUA
This 1574-nucleotide ribosomal RNA is filed under the name uncultured Glomeromycotina. Its description in RNAcentral is "eukaryotic LSU rRNA". The stretch from base 734 to 1574 matches the Rfam family "Eukaryotic large subunit ribosomal RNA", at positions 1 to 695 of the family's 3401-position model. Lineage: Eukaryota; Fungi; Glomeromycota. The record is from RNAcentral.